Molecule: ribosomal RNA, 253 nt
Filed under: uncultured bacterium
Lineage: Bacteria
Description: partial 16S ribosomal RNA
Rfam family: Bacterial small subunit ribosomal RNA
Source: RNAcentral
UACGGAGGAUCCAAGCGUUAUCCGGAUUUAUUGGGUUUAAAGGGUGCGUAGGCGGUUUAUUAAGUCAGUGGUGAAAGCCCGGGGCUCAACCUCGGAACUGCCUUUGAUACAGCACGUCUCGAGUCCGGAAGAGGUGGGUGGAAUUCCUAGUGUAGAGGUGAAAUUCGUAGAUAUUAGGAAGAACACCGGUGGCGAAGGCGGCCCACUGGUCCGGUACUGACGCUGAGGUGCGAAAGCGUGGGGAGCAAACAGG